CCUACGGGCGGCAGCAGUGAGGAAUAUUGGUCAAUGGACGAGAGUCUGAACCAGCCAAGUAGCGUGAAGGAUGACUGCCCUAUGGGUUGUAAACUUCUUUUAUAUGGGAAUAAAAUGUUCCACGUGUGGGUUUUUGUAUGUACCAUAUGAAUAAGGAUCGGCUAACUCCGUGCCAGCAGCCGCGGUAAUACGGAGGAUCCGAGCGUUAUCCGGAUUUAUUGGGUUUAAAGGGAGCGUAGGUGGAUUGUUAAGUCAGUUGUGAAAGUUUGCGGCUCAACCGUAAGAUUGCAGUUGAAACUGGCAGUCUUGAGUACAGUAGAGGUGGGCGGAAUUCGUGGUGUAGCGGUGAAAGGCUUAGAUAUCACGAAGAACUCCGAUUGCGAAGGCAGUUCACUGGACUGCAACUGACACUGAGGCUCGAAAGUGUGGGUAUCAAACAGGAUUAGAUACCCCUGUAGUC
Molecule: ribosomal RNA, 460 nt
Filed under: uncultured bacterium
Lineage: Bacteria
Description: partial 16S ribosomal RNA
Rfam family: Bacterial small subunit ribosomal RNA
Source: RNAcentral